This 267-nucleotide ribosomal RNA is filed under the name Triticum aestivum (bread wheat). Its description in RNAcentral is "partial small subunit ribosomal RNA". Lineage: Eukaryota; Viridiplantae; Streptophyta; Magnoliopsida; Poales; Poaceae. The record is from RNAcentral.
AUGCCCCUGACUUCAAGCACAAGAAUUUGGUUAAGCUCACCAUCUAUGGCUUCCAGCCUGAUGACAACUUUGUGCUAUACAUCAGGCGUGUCGUGGAAGCUGCGGUUAAUGUGGGUGAGAUAUCUCUGUAUGACAGGAAGGUGUGUGGGUGCUGUGGUGAUUUGGAUCCCGAGAUCAAGGACAAGGUUUGUCCAUCUAGAUAUCCAAGGACUUCCGAGGAGAGGAAAUGGACAACUGAAGAUUUGGGUUUGCCUUCACGUGCUGUGA